Non-coding RNA from Camelina sativa (false flax), 466 nucleotides. Lineage: Eukaryota; Viridiplantae; Streptophyta; Magnoliopsida; Brassicales; Brassicaceae. The record is from RefSeq and is a predicted model, not a curated record.
UGUAUAAACUAACUUAAUCAGAUUGUGUAUUGUUGUACUAAGUCUAAUCUGCUUCUUCUUGUUUAUCUUCAGGUUACGUAAGACAUGGGCCACGACUAUAGCUAUUCCCAGCCUUCUUCAUCUGAUCUGGCUGAUAAGUACUCAGAGGACACUGCGGAUAGAGAGCUAGAUGCAUUGAUUCGUAUGGAUGAAGCAGAGUCUGGUAAGGUUGGAGAAUGUAGUUAAUGAGAUAUGUAAGGAAAAUAAGUUAAGAAAAUUUACUGAUUUGCUGGUUGUAGGUGUAAUCAUCAUUUUCACAUGUAUUUUGUUCAUGUUGGUGUAAUGAUUUACACGGGUACUUGUUGUUUUCUUAUCAUGUAUGUUGUUUUGUUUUGGUCUCUCACGGGUAUUACAUGUAUUUUGACUACGGACGUGUUGGUCUCUGUCACGGGUACUUGUUGUUGGUGUAAUCAUGUAUGUUCUUUUG